Long non-coding RNA from Amblyraja radiata (thorny skate), 410 nucleotides. RefSeq lists it as uncharacterized. NCBI's taxonomy places the organism in Eukaryota, Metazoa, Chordata, Chondrichthyes, Rajiformes, Rajidae. The record is from RefSeq and is a predicted model, not a curated record. The transcript has 3 exons.
ACUUUCUCUCCCUUUUUCCAGACUCGCCGAUGACCACGGCUGCUGUCUGCGCCGGAUCAGGGGGGAGUGUUUUGGACGGGGUGAAGGCGGAUAUGUACCUGACAGGUGAAAUGUCUCAUCACCAACUCCUUGAUGCUUCGACUAGAGGGACCUCGAUCAUCCUCUGUGAACACUCUAACUCAGAACGAGGGUACCUCCCUCAUCUCGCCUCCCUCCUCACCCCUCUACUGGGGGAGAGAGUUACCGUUCACAUCUCUACCCAGGAUAGAGAGCCCGUACAGAUUGUGUGAGGGGGAGAGGACGGGAUUCGAGGGAGAGUGAGUGCCUGUCCUACCUGAUAGAGGGGGAGUGCCUAGAGAGGAGUGUGUGACGGGUGUUUGUGUACAGGCAUGCGUGUGCGUGCGUGCCUG